This 157-nucleotide ribosomal RNA is filed under the name Massaria inquinans. Its description in RNAcentral is "5.8S ribosomal RNA". It matches the Rfam family "5.8S ribosomal RNA". Rfam says of the family: 5.8S ribosomal RNA (5.8S rRNA) is a component of the large subunit of the eukaryotic ribosome. It is transcribed by RNA polymerase I as part of the 45S precursor that also contains 18S and 28S rRNA. Lineage: Eukaryota; Fungi; Ascomycota; Dothideomycetes; Pleosporales; Massariaceae. RNAcentral also lists the same sequence under 11 other names. The record is from RNAcentral.
AAAACUUUCAACAACGGAUCUCUUGGUUCUGGCAUCGAUGAAGAACGCAGCGAAAUGCGAUAAGUAGUGUGAAUUGCAGAAUUCAGUGAAUCAUCGAAUCUUUGAACGCACAUUGCGCCCUUUGGUAUUCCGAAGGGCAUACCUGUUCGAGCGUCAU